Small nuclear RNA from Piliocolobus tephrosceles (Ugandan red Colobus), 107 nucleotides. NCBI's taxonomy places the organism in Eukaryota, Metazoa, Chordata, Mammalia, Primates, Cercopithecidae. The record is from Ensembl.
GUGCUUGCUUCGGCAGCAUAUAUACUAAAAUUGGAAUGCCACAGAGAAGAUUAGCAUGACCCCUGUGCAAGGAUGGCAUGCAAAUUCAUGAAACCAUCCAUAUUUUA